This 1410-nucleotide long non-coding RNA is filed under the name Oryctolagus cuniculus (rabbit). RNAcentral describes it as "lncRNA (ENSOCUG00000038803.1)". Lineage: Eukaryota; Metazoa; Chordata; Mammalia; Lagomorpha; Leporidae. The record is from RNAcentral.
GAAACUACUAAUUUAUGUUCUAUCUGUAUUAAUGCAUUUUAAAUUUGUUAUCAUGUUGUCAGGAUGUGGUUGCUCUGAGUUCCAUAUCUGUACAUGAAAAGAGGGAAGCAGGUACCAGUUAAGGUCCCAGAUUCCAGAUGGGUCUAUAGUCCACGGUUUCUACGAGGUAUCUGUAUCCAAAAAUAACUGCCUUAAAUUUUUCAUAAAUGAUGUGGCAAGGAGCUGAAGAUAUACAGGAAUAUGUUGACGAGAGUCUUAUCUACCUAUCUUUGCAAAUUCUGCUCAUGAUUCAGCCUGGAAAGGUCCCUGAAAUGAAAGAGGUGGUUCGCAACACAGCCAGAAGCAAUGUGUCCUCUCUCCUCACCGUCCCAUGGAGUAACCUCUUUCCUGUUCUGUCCAUUCUCCACUGAAAACUUUUCUCAGUAAGUUCCCUGGGAAUGUUGUCCUUCCUUUGUUUUUCUUUAUUUUUUUAUUUUAUUAUUUAUUUAUUUAUUUUGACAGGCAGAGUGGACAGUGAGAGAGAGAGACAGAGAGAAAGGUCUUCCUUUGCCAUUGGUUCACCCUCCAAUGGCUGUCGCGGCUGGCACGCUGUGGCCGGCGCACCGUGCUGAUCCAAUGGCAGGAGCCAGGUGCUUCUCCUGGUCUCCCAUGGGGUGCAGGGCCCAAGAACUUGGGCCAUCCUCCACUGCACUCCCUGGCCACAGCAGAGAGCUGGCCUGGAAGAGGGGCAACCGGGACAGAAUCCGGCGCCCUGACCGGGACUAGAACCUGGUGUGCCGGUGCCACAAGAUGGAGGAUUAGCCUAGUGAGCCGCAGCGCCGGCCCCUUUGUUUUUCUGAUAUCUCUCUAUUGCUGAAGUCAGUGCAACUUCUCACUAUUCAAUCAUCUGGCCUCUCCUACCACAUUUCUAUACUUACCUCAUUAUUCGUCUUUUUUUUUUUUUUUCAAGAGCUGUUUUAUUCAUUCUUAAAUUUGAGUGAUAUGGCUCAGAUUCCAAAUGUUGAGAUAUUUCAAUUCUAAUUUUAUCGAGCAAUACACUAGGUAUUUCUAUCACUUAAUAUUGGCAGCACUGAUGGACUAUAGAUCUUCAAUCUUUUCAUUCAAAUUACUGAGUCCAUUCUUAAAACUGCCUUCAUGCCCAUGACCAUUUUCUUCAUUGCCUUCAGAUCUUUGCUCAAAUGUCCUCUUUUCAUCAGGAUCUUCUUAGAACAAUCUUUAAAAUGAUAACUUAUUGCUCCCUUUCCCAUCAUAAAAUCACCCUAAUAUUCUUAGCCCCUUCUAUUUUAUUUUCUCCAAGAAAAGGGCUCAUCUUGUUUCACACUCCAGAGCUGACCUAUUGCUCUUGUGUGUUUACUGUGUCCCUCCACUAAAUUAGAUUGGGAUCAUUUUCCCUCCUUUGUUCCUUUCUAU